This 420-nucleotide RNase P RNA is filed under the name Prevotella sp. RNAcentral describes it as "RNase P RNA component class A". It matches the Rfam family "Bacterial RNase P class A". Rfam says of the family: Ribonuclease P (RNase P) is a ubiquitous endoribonuclease, found in archaea, bacteria and eukarya as well as chloroplasts and mitochondria. The record is from RNAcentral. Lineage: Bacteria; Pseudomonadati; Bacteroidota; Bacteroidia; Bacteroidales; Prevotellaceae.
GCAGUGUUCCGGCUCUGUCGCUGGUAUCUUGAUGAUACGAGAGGAAAGUCCGGGCAGCAUAGGGCGCUCCACUUCUGAAAGUAGAAGCUAUUGGCAACAGUAGGCGAGGGCAGAAGAAAACAACCGCCUCGUCGUAGUGCGGGGUAAGGGUGAGAAGGUGGUGUAAGAGACCACCAGCCGGCGGGUGAUCGUCGGGCUGUGUCUGCUGGAGGCUGCAAGUUCAUGUAUACCACCGUCUGAGGGCUGCCCGCCCGAUAUGGUCUGCCCACAUCUUCCUGCGGGAUAUGUCGGGGAGACUAUGCGGUGGAGGGUAGAAUGCUUGAGCCGCAGGGUGACUUGCGGACUAGAUACAUGACAGGCACUGGCUGUUGUCGAGAGGCACUGUCAGCACAGAACCCGGCUUAUAGGAGCACUGCUUCG